AAUUUUUUUAGUAAUUGAUCAAUAUUUGUAAAAUAUUAUUGUUUUAAUUACCACACAGUAUGGGAUUAUACUCUGUUAUGCCUGACAGGUUUCUUUCGCUAUUAUAGAGUAUCCUCAAUUUCCAAGAGGAAGAAUGCUUGUAUAUUUGUAUAUAAUAUGCUACUGGAAUAUGAAUUUAAGCUUUCAAUUAAAUAAUUAUGCAUUAUGUAAGUGAAUUUCCUAGUAUUUAUUAUGAAGGCUCACGCAAGUAAUUUACUAAAAUUAGUAUAGGGUGAAGCUGGGUACCUUAGAAGAAGCCUUUUUACGCCUUUCUAAAAGCAGAAUCUUUCAAUUGAUUUGGAUUUACUAGCUUGAACCAUUUUUUUCAACAUCAUUUGGUAUGAAGUCUUUGUAAGGCAAGUUAAUCGGUGAAUAAAAUUUCAUUGAAUUUAACAAAUAUUCAACUGUCAUUAAAUUUUUCUAAAUGAAACCAUUAAUCUUAGGCCCUGAGCA
Molecule: non-coding RNA, 492 nt
Organism: Schizosaccharomyces pombe (fission yeast)
Lineage: Eukaryota; Fungi; Ascomycota; Schizosaccharomycetes; Schizosaccharomycetales; Schizosaccharomycetaceae
Source: the annotation of a GenBank genome assembly